UUUAUGGAGAGUUUGAUCCUGGCUCAGAGUGAACGCUGGCGGCGUGCCUAAUACAUGCAAGUCGAACGAUGAAGCUUCUAGCUUGCUAGAAUGCUGAUUAGUGGCGCACGGGUGAGUAACGCAUAGGUCAUGUGCCUCUUAGUUUGGGAUAGCCAUUGGAAACGAUGAUUAAUACCAGAUACUCCCUACGGGGGAAAGAUUUAUCGCUAAGAGAUCAGCCUAUGUCCUAUCAGCUUGUUGGUAAGGUAAUGGCUUACCAAGGCUAUGACGGGUAUCCGGCCUGAGAGGGUGAACGGACACACUGGAACUGAGACACGGUCCAGACUCCUACGGGAGGCAGCAGUAGGGAAUAUUGCUCAAUGGGGGAAACCCUGAAGCAGCAACGCCGCGUGGAGGAUGAAGGUUUUAGGAUUGUAAACUCCUUUUGUUAGAGAAGAUAGUGACGGUAUCUAACGAAUAAGCACCGGCUAACUCCGUGCCAGCAGCCGCGGUAAUACGGAGGGUGCAAGCGUUACUCGGAAUCACUGGGCGUAAAGAGCGCGUAGGCGGGAUAGUCAGUCAGGUGUGAAAUCCUAUGGCUUAACCAUAGAACUGCAUUUGAAACUACUAUUCUAGAGUGUGGGAGAGGUAGGUGGAAUUCUUGGUGUAGGGGUAAAAUCCGUAGAGAUCAAGAGGAAUACUCAUUGCGAAGGCGACCUGCUGGAACAUUACUGACGCUGAUUGCGCGAAAGCGUGGGGAGCAAACAGGAUUAGAUACCCUGGUAGUCCACGCCCUAAACGAUGGAUGCUAGUUGUUGGAGGGCUUAGUCUCUCCAGUAAUGCAGCUAACGCAUUAAGCAUCCCGCCUGGGGAGUACGGUCGCAAGAUUAAAACUCAAAGGAAUAGACGGGGACCCGCACAAGCGGUGGAGCAUGUGGUUUAAUUCGAAGAUACACGAAGAACCUUACCUAGGCUUGACAUUGAGAGAAUCCGCUAGAAAUAGUGGAGUGUCUGGCUUGCUAGACCUUGAAAACAGGUGCUGCACGGCUGUCGUCAGCUCGUGUCGUGAGAUGUUGGGUUAAGUCCCGCAACGAGCGCAACCCCCUUUCUUAGUUGCUAACAGGUCAUGCUGAGAACUCUAAGGAUACUGCCUCCGUAAGGAGGAGGAAGGUGGGGACGACGUCAAGUCAUCAUGGCCCUUACGCCUAGGGCUACACACGUGCUACAAUGGGGUGCACAAAGAGAAGCAAUACUGCGAAGUGGAGCCAAUCUUCAAAACGCCUCUCAGUUCGGAUUGUAGGCUGCAACUCGCCUGCAUGAAGCUGGAAUCGCUAGUAAUCGCAAAUCAGCCAUGUUGCGGUGAAUACGUUCCCGGGUCUUGUACUCACCGCCCGUCACACCAUGGGAGUUGUGUUUGCCUUAAGUCAGGAUGCUAAACUAGCUACUGCCCACGGCACACACAGCGACUGGGGUGAAGUCGUAACAAGGUAACCGUAGGUGAACCUGCGGUUGGAUCACCUCCUUU
This 1504-nucleotide ribosomal RNA is filed under the name Helicobacter pylori. RNAcentral's name for it is "bacterial SSU rRNA". It matches the Rfam family "Bacterial small subunit ribosomal RNA". The record is from RNAcentral. Lineage: Bacteria; Pseudomonadati; Campylobacterota; Epsilonproteobacteria; Campylobacterales; Helicobacteraceae.